GGAAACGACUGCUAAUGCCCUAUAUGCCUUUAAUACAUAAGUAUGCAAGGGGAAACGCUUUAGUGCUAGAGGAUGGGUCUGUAUGGUAUCAGUUAGUUGGUGAGGUAAUGGCUCACCAAGACUAUGACGCCUAACUGGUUUGAGAGGAUGAUCAGUCACACUGGAACUGAGACACGGUCCAGACUCCUACGGGAGGCAGCAGUGGGGAAUAUUGCACAAUGGACGAAAGUCUGAUGCAGCAACGCCGCGUGGAGGAUGACACAUUUCGGUGCGUAAACUCCUUUUAUAUAGGAAGAUAAUGACGGUACUAUAUGAAUAAGCACCGGCUAACUCCGUG
This 337-nucleotide ribosomal RNA is filed under the name uncultured bacterium. RNAcentral describes it as "bacterial SSU rRNA". It matches the Rfam family "Bacterial small subunit ribosomal RNA", at positions 152 to 507 of the family's 1533-position model. The record is from RNAcentral.